This is a long non-coding RNA of Mustela lutreola (European mink), 6766 nucleotides long. RefSeq lists it as uncharacterized. The transcript is spliced from 5 exons. The record is from RefSeq and is a predicted model, not a curated record. NCBI's taxonomy places the organism in Eukaryota, Metazoa, Chordata, Mammalia, Carnivora, Mustelidae.
AAAUAACUAGAUGGUUUAAAAAAUGUUAUCAGAACUGUCUUUACCGCUAACAAGGUCUAAAUGAAACUGUCGCCAUGGAUAAUGUUUGUGUCUUGCGUUGUGACUGUCCUGACAAAGGCCUGUCCCGUUGGGGAGUAGAUGAAGCUUAACAUUCACAGGCCUUGGGAGCCAUGGAUGGAGAAACUCCGGCUGUCUGCCAAGCAGAACCUGGCAGAUCUUUGGCAAGGUGGUUGCCCUGAGACAACUCUUGCCCUGAGACAAUCGGGAAGGCUUGGGGAGAAGAACAUUCUUUUCCCACAGAUACUCUUCUGUGUCAUUCCUGUGCUUUACCUGGCUUUCUGCACUCAAGAUCUUAUCUCCUUGGAAAGACCCUGGAGUGGACACAGUAUAAACCAUCCCAUCUCCUUGACCUGGACAAUCCUUUGACCUCCUGUAUUUGCCCCCUGGUGGCUUCUGUUUUGCCCUAUAAAGACAGAUUCUGUUUCUGGGAGGUGGGUAAGUAUUUGUUGAAGCAAUACGUAGAUAUCGGCAUACAUUUAGAUGUUUACGGGCCCCGUCACGAGAUUUAAGGGCUCCCUCACAUUCCUGUUUUCCUGUGGAAACAGACUGGGCCGAUCUACCUUCCUACUGCAAACCCUCUCCUAGAACUACGGGAUGAGCAGAAACAUGAGGGACAAGAGGCAACAUGUGAAACCCUCCAGCCUCCUCGCCCCCUUGCAUGUUUGCUUUCCUGGGACCUUCCACGAGGUGCUCUGCACGUAGACAAGGGACCCAUCCAGGAAUAAGACGGUGUCCAGUGGAGCAGAGCUGGCUGUGUCCUCUGAGAACGCAAGGAAGCAUGAGCAAGAGAAAAACGUCUGGGCUCAGAUCCCAGUGAACUCAUCUGCUUCUCCUUGAACUUUUUGCAAUAUCAUCUAUGCUGGAAAUGAUCAUUUAAAGCCACAGCCUAGCAUAAUGUUUACAUCCUGAGGGUUGGAACUGGAGUCAUUAAGUCUUUCAAACAACAAGGACUUUCUCCAGAAUACCUACUUGAUAAACCUUCUUGACUGACUGUGCCUAUUUGUAAUCUCUGCUCACAACUGGGUCCUUGACAAAACCUACUAUAAACUUCUCAACCAUCAAUUAUACAUAAAAAAUGUGGGUGAAAUGAUGGAGAAGAAUUCAACAAAUAGCAUUGCUCAUAAUGGAGAGAAGAUUCUACCUUCUACAAUAUGUAAUUUGAUGAAAUAUGCUAAGCAAGGUUGGGAGAAAAUAGAACCAUUAUUUGUUGUCCGAGCUCCUGGAUCACACGCUACCACUUGCUUAUCUCACUGGGCUCAAGCUUUUCCUGUGGCAUGCCCCCCUGUUCAUCUACCUAUCUGCCUCGCCCAUGGUUUGCUGAAUGCUCCCGGUGAGCCUGGUAUCCUGAAGGACCUUCGUAUCCGCUGUGGUUGGGUUCUCUCAGCUUUCUGCUUGGCCUUGGUCAAAGCCACGGUACACUCCAACUCUUCAGCUCUGGCCCGAAUGCCUUGAGCUUGAAUACAAAUAACCUUGGAGUGGGAAGCUUUUCUACUCAACUACGGACAUAGCUGAACAGAUUUUGCUUUAGUGAAAUGAAGUGGAGCCUGAAUUUAUCUGGAAAUGUGUGGAAUCAGCAGAGAGCAGUAAACACAAGUCUAGGGAAGUGGGAAACCAUUGUGAACGAUUUCGUGUUUUUCACUCCCAGCGGGCAUUUGGGCAUUAUUGUAAAGAACCAUGUUUUCAAACCUGCCAAUAACAGAACAGAUCUUUAUUCAUUGUGGAUGAGGCUUCCACUGGGAGAGUUGAAACUCUCGUUCCUUUUUCACCAACUAGAGAAGCUCUUCAGAGUUCCAAGCUUCUGUUUUCUGACUUCCACGCCAUAAAGGGAGAUGUUAGAUAUAUUUCCCAUAGAAUAACCUCAGGGCUUUCUGGGGGAAGUUGGACAGUUUCUAUGGUGGCAUAGAACGACAGUUCACCAGAGAAACAAUCCCAAGGAAAGGGCAAAUAUAUGCUUUCUGUCCAUUUGUCUUUCCUCUGUGUGUAUUGUUGCAAACAAUAGAAUCCACUCAAGUAAGUUUAGGCAGAAAAGGGAUUUAAUAAGGGAAAUGGGUAGCUCGUAGAAUCACUGUGGUGGGGGGCGGAUUGCUGUAGAAACAGAUUUGAGGCUAAGUUUCCAGAAACAUGUCCCACAUCAAAUCACAAAACCACAGUAUGAGUAGACAUUUGUCAUUGCCCCUUCACGAACUGUAGACUUCCAAACUUUUGCAGCUCUGCUGGGGCCUCCGGUGAUGGAUGCUAAUCUUGCAGUGGGAACUCAGUGUUGCAACCCAAGACUGGAAGCUUAUGUUGCCACAUGAACCCAGAAAAUGGAAACUCCACCAGGACUUCGAACCAAAUGCCCCAGCCAUGUGUCUCAUGGAGGCAGCACCAUGGGAGAUACAAGGGGAGCUGGGGAUUCCCGUGCUGAUUUCAAUCCUGGGGUUUGGGGGCAUCGCUGUAUAUAUCCUCUGGGUUUGUGUUCCAACAUUCACAUUUAUUAAGCAGGACAACGUCUUCCAAAUUCUAGACAGGAGCCUGCAGCCUAGCAAAGUGGUUGACUGUCUGGGCCUCAGAAUCAGUCAGACAUAGGUUCGAAUUUAGGCCCAACCUGCUGUUCUCAUAGUGACGUAAUAAGAAGUCACUUCCCUCUCUUCCUUUCUCCUCUGUGCGUCAACUUCCUUAUCUGCAAAAGACACUGACUACCAUGUAUCUUAGAGGCAUGUGAUAAAAGUUUAAAUGAACAUCUACAUCAAACCCUUUGUACAGGUUUUUUCUUUUUUUUUUAAAGGUUUUAUUUAUUUGACAGAGAUCACAAGCAAGCAGAGAGGCAGGCAGCAAGAGAAUAGGAUGCAGGCUCUCUGCUGAGAGAUCCCAGGACCCUGGGAUCAUGACCCAAGCUGAAGGCAGAGGCUUUUUUUUUAUUUUUUAAAAGAUUUUUAUUCAUCUAUUUGACAGACGGAAAUCACAAGUAGUCAGAGUGGUAGGCAAAGAGAGAGAGGGGAAAGCAGGGUCCCUGCUGAGCAGAGAGCCCGAUGCGGGGCUCGAUCCCAGGACCCUGGGAUCAUGACCUGAGCCGAAGGCAGAGGCUUUAACCCACUGAGCCACCCAGGCGCCCCUGAAUAGUUUUUUAUAACGCCGUGAACAUUCACAAUCUAGUGGUUGUCAUUCCAAUUACUAGUAAAAUAUAGGUGUAUGGUUUGGGAAGGGGGAGAAACUCUUAUUGUCAGAGAUCAUAUAUUAAUAAUAAUAAUAAUAACAACAACAACAAUAAUCCCACUAGUAACAAACCAGCCUCUUCCCAAGCCACCCAAGUUCAUUUUAACAUUUCUUGUAAGAUAUUCCAGUUCAUACAAGGAAUUAUAUGGCUGAACAAUGGGAAAAUGUGAGGUCAGAUGCUUCCUCAACUGUUUCCAAAAUAAAUAGUUACAGGAAGCUCACUCCCCUCUGCCUUAAAGAUUGGGAGGGGGGCUCGUGGAGGAGGCUCUGUGACUGUGAGUUCUCUAUGGGAGAUGUGGGAGCAGAUCAAUCCGUGGCCAAGUGUUUUAGCCGCACGUUUAUUGUGUUUGACAGCGAUGACAAUGUAGUACGCACUGAAUAAAAUGACGGAUGCACCCCUUCUCUCUCUCACACACACACUGCUUCUAUGUUCCCCUUGAACCUUCUGAGUGAAAGCCAGUCAUACAAAAAGCAUGCAGGGUGGGAGUUGAGAUCUGCCGCGACCAAAAUUACCCAGGAAUUCCAAAUUUCCAGAGUCGCAGAGGGGAACCUCACUAGCCAGAGGAGAAAGAAUACAAAAGACUGCGUGUUCAGUAGUUAAGAGUCAGAUCAAAUGGGAAAAGCCUGCCUGGCCACAGAAUUACAUUUCUUGGUCAUCAAGCCUUGUCUCCUUCCCAUGGUGUGGGCAGCCGAUGGACAAAGAAACAAGAGAUAUCUACGUUUACUGUAAAUUUACAUUAUACAAGGCAAAACUAUUUUUUGAUGCUUCUACUCCACUGUUCAAAAUCCUACUUAGAUGCCAUCCCAUUCCCCUCGCUGCUGAUACCCAGAUGUUUCCACUUGCGAUUAGGGCAGGCAGCAUCCAGAUGUUUUGAGGGGGCGGAGGAAGUUCUUUCAUUUGUGGCAAAUUUGAGAGGUGAAGAUUCAUUGACUCAUGUAAUAGUAAUCUUCCUACCCCCGGAAUUUGGAGCCAGGCUUCUUGCCCGCUUUCCUAGUCCUGUGUGGGGUCAUCUCACUGGUAUGGGACAGUGGGGGAACCUACAGGGCUGGGAUUGUGUGGCUCCCGAAAUAUCUACCACAGUUUGGAUUCGCCCUAGGCAAUUCCUUCUGUUCUUUUAAAGGUCAUUUUGUAGACAAGGAGGAAACUUCUGGCCACAUCACCAGCACAAACUAGCAUCCUACGCUGGUUCUCCCGCCAUCCUCUCCAAAGAUUUGCUCUGGAUUCAUAGAGCUCUUGUUCUAGAAAUCUCCCUGUUCUCAGCUCACAAGAACCACAAAUCUUGAACCAAGCACAUCUUUUCUGUAGUUUCUGAAUCUUUUUUCUGCUUACCCGGGAUUCAGUUAUAUUUCAUCUUCUUGCCCCCCUCCCCACGACCCUGCUCCCUGCUGGGCCCUCCUGCCUUGUUCACUCUGUCCCAGCCCUACUGUUCCGUCACUUGGAUAUACUUUGCACACUCGUGCCUGGAUGAGCGGGUGGAUGGAUGAGGGAGGGUUUGCCUCAGCGGUUCCCUGUGUCCAAAACGUUCUUCCCUGGAUGUCCCCAGGGGCCCAGACACAUUUCACUGGGGUCUCUGCCCCAGGGUUCCUUUUUUGGAAAAACCUUCCGUUUCCACACUGGGUGAAAUAUCAGUGCCCACCACCACUUCCUGAUUUCCUCUCCCCACCUGACAGGGCAAAUAAUGGUUUGCUUAAUUGAUCCUGUCUCUCUUUCCCUACUAGGAUCUAAACGCUGUGAGGGCAAGGUAGGUGUCUGUUUUGUUUCUUGCUGCCUAUCCAUGGCCUAGAACUCUACACCUCAUUCAGGUUGGGCCCUUUACUAACAAUAUUGUUGUUCUGCUUCUGUUUUUAUGCAGUUUAUGAAAGAUUCACUCAUCCUCUAUAGACAUCAGUGGACUCCUAUUCUCUUAUGCUCACAGUGGUUCUUUUCCUGAAGAAUUAGAUGAGAAAUAGGGGUGCCUGUGUGGUUUAGUUGGUUAAGUAUCUUAGUUCAUGAUCGCAGGGUCCUGGAAUCAAGCCCUGCAUCAGGCUCCCUGCUCAGCCGGAAGCCUGCUUCUCCCUCUCCCUCUGUCCUUUCCCUGCUUGUGCUUUCAAGCUCUCAAAUAAAUAAAUAACAAAAUCCUCAAAAAAAAAAAAAAAAAACAAGAAUUAGGUGAGGAAUGGAGUGAGCUAUUUCCCAAGGUUUUCACAGCAAAUAUUCAAUGGUCAGGAGGCAAUUUAAGCACUUUGCUUUUUUGCUGCUGCUUCGGAAAGAGUAAGCACCUCAUUAAAAAAAAAAAAAAAAGAAUAACAAUUCUGUAGGUAUAAUGCGAAGCGUAGUGACUAUAGUUAACAGUAUUGUAUUACGUAUUUGGGGGUUGCUAAGAAAGUAGAUCUUUUAAAAGUUUUCAACAUGAGAAAAGAAAUUGAAUUACGUGUAGUGAAGGACGUUAGCGCGACUUACUGUGGUGAUCAUUUUGAAGUAUGAGUCAUUAUGUUGUACACCUGAAAUUAAUAUAAUGUUAUAUGUCAAUUAUAUCUCAAAAAAAACUGACUAAUAGAGAAACUACAUCUCUAUCAUCUGAAAUGACUCUUUAAUGUCCUUUUUUCAAGAGCUGAGCUUACAAGGAAGCCCGAGAAUAUUUCUGGCCCUUCACCGACUCCAUUCAUUGCCCUUCUGGGCCCAGGAGGGCAUCAGAUGCAUGACCUCUACCCUGGGAAUUUCUCAUUCAAGUGUCUUUUUCCCCUGUAAAUAUAAUCUUAUCUUUUCCUGAAAUUUAAAUUUGCGACAGACUUACAUGCCUUUCCUUUUUUUUUUUCCACUUUCUUUUAUUGGUCACACUCCGUAAGAAUCUUCUGCACUUUGUACUUCAUGACUGAACUCUGAGGUUGCUUCCUGGCUGAUUCCUCAUUGCUCUGCUUCGCUGUGAAGACACCAAAACCUCACCCUUGCUAGACUGUACUCACCCUUCCCGUGAUGAGGCGAAAUGAUAAAAUCCCUGCGUGGUGAGAUGAAGUGAGGUGACAGACAAAAGCAUUGUGACACAGCGGUGGGCUACCAUUGACCUUCUGACCAUACGUCCAAAGGAGGGGCACCUCCUCCUGGAUUGCUGUUGACCACGGCUAAGUGAGACCCCUGAUAAGGGAAGACUACCGUAUCAUCUCUUUUUUACAACUGAGCCAAACAGAGGUUCAGCAAGUUAAGUCGCUGGCCCCAUGGUCUCAAGAAAAGCUUCAUAAAUAGCAAGGAUAGAAUUUAACACCCGGUCCACCUGACCCCAAUGGUUUUUUGCUCCUUCCUUGUCACCACUCCUGAUGUUAGAGCGAAUUGCUAAUUUAGGUGCUGCCUGGAAUGUUUGUAUUUAGGGGAAAACUCUGAAGGUGCCAGCAGCCAGCCAUGAACACUGAGAAUACGGCAUUUGGACAGUAAAUCUGAAGUAACCGCACUCCUCUUGUAUCCAUCCCAUUCUCCUUCCUAGUUGUUCUUGCUGCUUCUUUCUACCGGAAGACAGAAGAUGAAAUGAAAUGAUAAAAC